UGUAGAGAGAGAGAGAGAGAGAGAGAGAGAUGAGUUCAGUCUAAAUUGAAAGGCAAGGCUUUGACAUUAAAGGGAUAAUGGGUGGUAAGUUUGGGACUGGGGUUUAGAGAAAUGGGAUAUAUUUUUUACUUACAGAAAGCAGGUCUAGACCACUUCGUUCCAAACCAGGAACAGCAGAGACCAAAUCUUUAGGGUUCAGAGAAAAGGGAUAUAUUUUUUACUUACAGAAAGCAGGUCUAGACCACUUCGUUCCAAACCAGGAACAGCAGAGACCAAAUCUUUAGGGCGCCACUGUGGAUACUCAUGCCAGUUUGUUAGUUUGCUUACACCAG
RNAcentral lists this long non-coding RNA (332 nucleotides) under Amborella trichopoda. RNAcentral describes it as "long non-coding RNA (ATRI_LNC001109)". Lineage: Eukaryota; Viridiplantae; Streptophyta; Magnoliopsida; Amborellales; Amborellaceae. The record is from RNAcentral.